RNAcentral lists this ribosomal RNA (116 nucleotides) under Larimichthys crocea (large yellow croaker). Lineage: Eukaryota; Metazoa; Chordata; Actinopteri; Sciaenidae. The record is from RNAcentral.
GCUUACGGCCAUACUACCCUGAAUGCUCCCGAUCUCGUCUCAUUUCUGAAGCUAAUCAGGGUCAGGCCUGGUUAGUUUGGAUGGGAGACCGCUGGGAAUACCAGGUGCUGUAAGCU